CACGUAGGGACCGAGCGUUGUCCGGAUUCAUUGGGCGUAAAGAGCUCGUAGGCGGUCGGGUAAGUCGGGUGUGAAAUCUCCGGGCUCAACUCGGAGGGGCCACCCGAUACUGCACGACUCGAGUCCGGUAGGGGAGUGGGGAAUUCCUGGUGUAGCGGUGAAAUGCGCAGAUAUCAGGAGGAACACCAGUGGCGAAGGCGCCGCUCUGGGCCGUGACUGACGCUGAGGAGCGAAAGCGUGGGUAGCAAACAGG
This 253-nucleotide ribosomal RNA is filed under the name uncultured bacterium. Its description in RNAcentral is "partial 16S ribosomal RNA". It matches the Rfam family "Bacterial small subunit ribosomal RNA", at positions 524 to 776 of the family's 1533-position model. The record is from RNAcentral.